Long non-coding RNA from Lagopus muta (rock ptarmigan), 3994 nucleotides. RefSeq lists it as uncharacterized. The transcript has 2 exons. The record is from RefSeq and is a predicted model, not a curated record. Lineage: Eukaryota; Metazoa; Chordata; Aves; Galliformes; Phasianidae.
GUGCUCUGCAUCCCAAACACAUUCCUCGGAAGCUGCUUUUAUCAUUCCUGAUAACGCGUCCCUGUGCUGCUGCAAUGGCAAACACAGGGCAGGCAGACAGGCCAGGCUGAGCGGAGCCAGCCCACGCUCCCAGCACCUGCCCAGCCCCGCAGGUCUGCUCCUGCACAGCUCUGUGCACAGCUCAGGUGCUGAGCGCUGCCCGAGCGCUGGUUUGGUGGAAGGUCAUUAGAGCCAGGGAACUUUGCUAGGUCACGGUUGGACUCGAUGAUCCUUAAGGUCUUUUCCAACCUGAGUGGUUCUAUGAUUCUGAGCACAGGGAAGUGCGAGGAUACAAGCAGAGGAGAGGAGAACAGAGCCGUGUUUAAGCAGCACAACGAUCCUGGGUGCACAGCAGCUCUUCACACACACCUGACCAGUGAAUGAUUUACACAAACCCUGCUUGGCUUCCAGGUUCCCCCACGGGCAGCUGAAGGAAUGGCUUUCUGUGAGACUUGGGGCUCACACCCCCACAUGGAUCAGCUCUGUGCCCCCCCGUGGAACAGUGCACCCCCACGGAGGGGCUCUGUGAACACACACAGAGGGGUUCCGUGCACAUCCAUUAAGGCAGCACUGGCUCAUGCUCUGUGCAGAAUAUCUCACUGCCAGCACCUCGGCGCCCAGCACAGAGCUCACGUCUGCCCACACAGCUCCAGCACUCCAAGUGCCAGCAGCCGAGGGGCACACAGGGCACAGAGCGCCUUCCUCUUCCUCCCUUCUACAGAGGAGCUUCAGCCUUGCUCACGCAUAGAGAAAAAACAGUGUCUGGAUCUACGACACCGUGCCAACAGCCAGAAAUCUCACUCAAGGGGUUCGAGCCUUUGUCUACAGACAUCACACGAAGUAGCACAGGGGGCUCUGCAGGAAUCAGACUCCAGGAUUGCUUUAAUCUCAUUACAGUAUUUCAUAUUCUUGACACACUGCUUUCUGUACUCAGAAGCACUGAAUCCUCAAGCACUGUCCCUUAUGGCAGCACAUGGAUCUGUUGAGAGCUCUGACGGCCCUGCACUUCUGGUGGCACAGAGCUCCAUGCCAAGCAGUGCUGCUGGGCUGCUGCAUGGCACCGACGGAUGUGAGCAGCUGCUUUGUGGAGACAAACACCAGUCUGCUCUCUUCUGGUACAAAUCACUUUGCAGGCACAGACACCUCUGUGCGUUCCUUCAUAGCGCUGUCUUUCCAGGAUGAAACACUCACAUUGCCUGGAGAAGCUGCUUAACUGGCAUGCAAAUUCAGAAGCAAUUUGCAAAACUACGCACUGUGCAGAAAUGGAUUUCAAAAGCAUGUAUGCAACAUCUGCAUGAGAUCUCAAAGCUCUUCAGCUUCAAAAGCCAGCUCAGACCUUUGUAACGCUCGCAAUUAAUAAAAACAGCCUCAACUUGACAUUUAUCAAACUCCACCUGAUAUGCAAUCGCACAAGAAGAUCAAAGACCAGGAGAGACGGAUGCUUCUGCAUAAACAGCAACACACACAGAAGAAAGCUGCAAGCCCUGCCAAGACAACAACAAAAAGUAAGACGAGGCAGCAUACCGAGCCGCAGAAAGAAAAUGAUGUGAAUGAUGUAUUGCUAGGACAACAAGGCUGCCUCGCCGAGUGCUGCCUGACGCACAGCUUGUGUCAGGCACUGCCACUGCAAGGAAGAGAUGUGCACGGCACUGCAGAGCUGCCCUGCACACGUGGUGCUCUGCCUUUCACAUCUGCGUGGUGAGCGCUGCACCUUGAACAGCAACACGGCACUCCCAGGGAGGAGAAACACCGGCAGUGCACCCGGAGCUCCUCGUCCUUCCGCCUGCCUGCAGCUCGGGGCAGCCCUGCAGCUCAGGGCGCCGUGGCUGCAGCAGUGCAGGGCAUCCCAGUGCGUGCUGCAGCGUGAGGGCAGCGCGGGGGACUGAAACCGUCACUCGGCACUUCCAGCAGCUCUGAGCACUUCUGGCACGAAUAGGGAAAGACACGGCCAACUCUGCAACAAAAAUAUCUCUUAUUUUGUCUCUAAGUAACUUCUUUGCUAUCUUUGAAGUCUAAGAUCAUCACAAUUGCCCAAUAUUUUGCUUUGCUUUAGUCCUAUUUCUUGCUUGGCACCACCUUCUGCUUUGCCAUCUCAGUGUGUCCUGUGUACAGACAACUCCCUCUUUUUUCCGGUUGACAAAGCACAGCAGCAGCAACACAGCAGUGGGACCAGCACAGGAACAGACAGUGGGACCCGAGGCUGUACGGUGCUCAGGAGGGUUUCACACACUGUAUUUCAAUGAGUAACACGUCAGUGAUGGAUGGGGGAAAAUGCCAACAUGCUCAGUUCUCCUGUACCCAUGAAAGGCUGGGGCUCAAUGCAUUGACCACCAGGCUCGCAUCACUGCCCCCAGCCCCUUGGUGUCACACCUCACCUGCCCUGCAGCAGGACAGGGACGUGAGCACCAGCCGUGGGGAGCUCUGUUACAGCUGCGCAACCAGCACCAGCACAUCCCUGCUGGAGGCAUUUAACCCAGCACGUUCAGUCCUGUUGUGAACAGUCCAAAAACCCUCAGUGGAGGUCACUGAAACAGCACUUUUCAGACACUGGAGGCCCAGCCGCUGCUGCUACCACAUUAAAGUUGGUGCCAGGCAGGAUUCUCAUGUUCAGAUUCUGUCAGAACACACUUAAGAUCUCCAUGCAACUUCAGCUUGCCAGACACUUCUGCAAGGAGAGGACAUGUGUGCACCAGGUACCGACAGCCCAAAGCAGCAGCCCGUAAAUCAGGGUUCUGCAGAUCCUCACGCAGACUCACACUCACUUGUUUUUCCUAUGACUUGGCAAAUGGAAAACAAAAGACAGCUCUGGGCAGUUCCAGGGUUUGGGUCUACAUGCAGACUGCUGGCAGCAGCUCACACGUGCACAGCAGGCCCAGUGUGCCUUUCUCUCCAUACACCAUGUGGAUGCUGCCAUGUUGUAUGGAAACCGUUGAGUCCCAGCCUGCACCAGUGAUUGAACACCUGGGGAAAGGACCGGUCAGCUCUGGGAGCGCAGGUGAAGGCAGUUCAGCUGUGUGAUUGGGAGGGGUGGCUGCACCUCUCUCAGACCCCAUUUAAGGGCUGAGUGCCGCUAGGGAAAGACCUCUGGUUGGAAAUUCCUUCCUUGUGGAGUUUUCCUGUCAGCUGAGAUCUUCAGAGACAGUGUCAGCUGUCAACUACAGACAGGAGAACCUGUUACCUUUCACUGUGAAUAUUAACUGUAAGACUGGUGACUGCUAACAACCCUUCCCACACAAAACCCAAACGGCUCAGAGCCUUCAGAGAGCAGACAGGUCUGACGAGAACAACCGGGUUCUGAUUUGCUGUUGUUUCUUUGUUGUUUUUUCCUGAUCUGAGCAGAGAUCUUUGGCUUCCUCUGCAGGACACCAGCAUCCCACCAAACUGUGACGCCGGUGUUUGUGCCACGCCAGCCUUUGUUACAGCUGUUUUCCAGAUGGGCACACACAGGCUAUGCCAGACACAGCCCCAGUAACGCAGAGCCCUGAGCUGCUCUAAACAAAAGGGUGGCUGCUAAACCUGCUAACACAAACUAAAACCAAGCAGACAAGGAACGCAGCACACACACACACCCUGCACUGCAGGUUCUCCUCUCUCCCCUUGGCCUGAUGCACGCACAGCACUAACAGCAGCGUCUUGGGCUCUAUUUUAAGCUUCUCCAGUAACAGAUGAGAUGCAAGGGACAGCACUGGGAAAGUACAUGCAUUGGUGCCAGAGGGAAAAGUGAGGACAAAAGGCAGUAGGUGUGGGGCUGGGACACAGUAGACCCCCCUCUGGGGAUCAGAGGGCCUCAGUGCUCCUGAAUGAGCAGCUCCCUUAGAGCCGGCACUGAAGUCUAUGUGUGCUCAGAUACCGCUCUCAUCGUUAUUCAGAAAGAAACAAAAACAAUACAUGCACAAAGAGAAGAACUGUGGGCUGAGCUCUCCCAGUUCUGCGACGCUCUGAUGCCGUGACUGCA